This 429-nucleotide ribosomal RNA is filed under the name Gemmatimonadota bacterium. RNAcentral's name for it is "Gemmatimonadetes bacterium partial 16S ribosomal RNA". It matches the Rfam family "Bacterial small subunit ribosomal RNA", at positions 355 to 776 of the family's 1533-position model. Lineage: Bacteria; Pseudomonadati; Gemmatimonadota. The record is from RNAcentral.
UAGGGAAUCUUCGGCAAUGGACGAAAGUCUGACCGAGCAACGCCGCGUGAGUGAAGAAGGUUUUCGGAUCGUAAAACUCUGUUGUUAGAGAAGAACAAGGACGUUAGUAACUGAACGUCCCCUGACGGUAUCUAACCAGAAAGCCACGGCUAACUACGUGCCAGCAGCCGCGGUAAUACGUAGGUGGCAAGCGUUGUCCGGAUUUAUUGGGCGUAAAGCGAGCGCAGGCGGUUUCUUAAGUCUGAUGUGAAAGCCCCCGGCUCAACCGGGGAGGGUCAUUGGAAGCUGGGAGAAGUGAGUGCAGAAGAGGAGAGUGGAAUUCCAUGUGUAGCGGUAAAAUGCGUAGAUAUAUGGAGGAACACCAGUGGCGAGGGCGGCUCUCUGGUCUGUAACUGACGCUGAGGCUCGAAAGCGGGGGGAGCAAACAGG